RNAcentral lists this ribosomal RNA (497 nucleotides) under uncultured bacterium. Its description in RNAcentral is "partial 16S ribosomal RNA". It matches the Rfam family "Bacterial small subunit ribosomal RNA", at positions 28 to 507 of the family's 1533-position model. The record is from RNAcentral.
GAUGAACGCUGGCGGCGUGCCUAAUACAUGCAAGUCGAGCGAACGGACGAGAAGCUUGCUUCUCUGAUGUUAGCGGCGGACGGGUGAGUAACACGUGGAUAACCUACCUAUAAGACUGGGAUAACUUCGGGAAACCGGAGCUAAUACCGGAUAAUAUUUUGAACCGCAUGGUUCAAAAGUGAAAGACGGUCUUGCUGUCACUUAUAGAUGGAUCCGCGCUGCAUUAGCUAGUUGGUAAGGUAACGGCUUACCAAGGCAACGAUGCAUAGCCGACCUGAGAGGGGGAUCGGCCACACGGGAACGGAGACGCGGUCCAGACUCCUGAGGGAGGCAGCAGUAGGGAAUCUUCCGCAAUGGGCGAAAGCCUUACGGAGCAACGCCGCGUGAGUGAUGAAGGUCUUCGGAUCGUAAAACUCUGUUAUUAGGGAAGAACAUAUGUGUAAGUAACUGUGCACAUCUUGACGGUACCUAAUCAGAAAGCCACGGCUAACUACGUG